AUCCAGCUGACGAGUUCCGAAUAGGAUGAAAUGUGCAUCAAACUGCAU
Non-coding RNA from Schistosoma margrebowiei, 48 nucleotides. The record is from Rfam. NCBI's taxonomy places the organism in Eukaryota, Metazoa, Platyhelminthes, Trematoda, Strigeidida, Schistosomatidae.